GACGAACGCUGGCGGCGUGCCUAAUACAUGCCAGUCGAGCGGACUUUCAAGAAGCUUGCUUUUUGAAAGUUAGCGGCGGACGGGUGAGUAACACGUGGGCAACCUGCCUGCAAGACGGGGAUAACUCCGGGAAACCGGGGCUAAUACCGGAUAAUAUCUUCCUUCGCAUGAAGGAAGGUUGAAAGGCGGCGCAAGCUGCCGCUUGCAGAUGGGCCCGCGGCGCAUUAGCUAGUUGGUGAGGUAACGGCUCACCAAGGCGACGAUGCGUAGCCGACCUGAGAGGGUGAUCGGCCACACUGGGACUGAGACACGGCCCAGACUCCUACGGGAGGCAGCAGUAGGGAAUCUUCCGCAAUGGACGAAAGUCUGACGGAGCAACGCCGCGUGAGCGAAGAAGGGCUUCGGGUCGUAAAGCUCUGUUGUCAGGGAAGAACAAGUACCGUUCGAACAGGGCGGUACCUUGACGGUACCUGACCAGAAAGCCACGGCUAACUACGUG
Molecule: ribosomal RNA, 499 nt
Filed under: uncultured bacterium
Lineage: Bacteria
Description: partial 16S ribosomal RNA
Rfam family: Bacterial small subunit ribosomal RNA
Source: RNAcentral